RNAcentral lists this long non-coding RNA (206 nucleotides) under Elaeis guineensis (African oil palm). RNAcentral's name for it is "long non-coding RNA (EGUI_LNC004999)". The record is from RNAcentral. Lineage: Eukaryota; Viridiplantae; Streptophyta; Magnoliopsida; Arecales; Arecaceae.
GGUUUAAAGGUUGAGAUUGAUUGAUCCCUGAUUCGAGAAAGAUUUUAUUCGCCUUGUUGGAGCACAUCUUAUUGAACAAGAACAAAGCAAGGAUGGAGAAUUGAGUAGACUAUUUACAUCAGCUUAGUUACUGGACGGACGGUCAUUUUCAUCUUAAUAAUGCAAUCUAAGGCGCAACGAAAAACUAUCACCAAUCCCACAGCUGC